Molecule: ribosomal RNA, 448 nt
Filed under: uncultured bacterium
Lineage: Bacteria
Description: bacterial SSU rRNA
Rfam family: Bacterial small subunit ribosomal RNA
Source: RNAcentral
UAACCAGACUCCUACGGGAGGCAGCAGUGGGGGAUAUUGCACAAUGGGGGGAACCCUGAUGCAGCGACGCCGCGUGGGUGAAGGAGCGUUUCGGCGCGUAAAGCCCUAUCGGCAGGGAAGAAGGAGGACGGUACCUGACUAAGAAGCCCCGGCUAACUACGUGCCAGCAGCCGCGGUAAUACGUAGGGGGCAAGCGUUAUCCGGAUUUACUGGGUGUAAAGGGGGCGUAGACGGAUGUGCAAGUCUGAUGUGAAAGGCGGGGGCUCAACCCCUGGACUGCAUUGGAAACUGUAAAUCUUGAGUGCCGGAGAGGUAAGCGGAAUUCCUAGUGUGGCGGUGAAAUGCGUAGAUAUUAGGAGGAACACCAGUGGCGAAGGCGGCUUACUGGACGGUAACUGACGUUGAGGCUCGAGAGCGUGGGGAGCAAACAGGAUUAGAUACCCGAGUA